GGGGCUGUAGCUCAGUUGGGAGAGCGCUGCCUUCGCAAGGCGGAGGUCGGGGGUUCGAAUCCCCUCAGCUCCA
Molecule: transfer RNA, 73 nt
Filed under: marine sediment metagenome
Rfam family: tRNA
About the family: Transfer RNA (tRNA) molecules are approximately 80 nucleotides in length. Their secondary structure includes four short double-helical elements and three loops (D, anti-codon, and T loops).
Source: RNAcentral